This 253-nucleotide ribosomal RNA is filed under the name uncultured bacterium. RNAcentral's name for it is "partial 16S ribosomal RNA". It matches the Rfam family "Bacterial small subunit ribosomal RNA", at positions 524 to 776 of the family's 1533-position model. The record is from RNAcentral.
UACGUAGGGGGCAAGCGUUGUCCGGAUUUAUUGGGCGUAAAGAGCGUGUAGGCGGCCAGGUAGGUCCGUUGUGAAAACUCGAGGCUCAACCUCGAGACGUCGGCGGAAACCCUCUGGCUAGAGUCCGGAAGAGGAGAGUGGAAUUCCCGGUGUAGCGGUGAAAUGCGCAGAUAUCGGGAAGAACACCCGUGGCGAAGGCGGCUCUCUGGGACGGUACUGACGCUGAGACGCGAAAGCGUGGGGAGCGAACAGG